This 498-nucleotide ribosomal RNA is filed under the name uncultured bacterium. RNAcentral's name for it is "bacterial SSU rRNA". It matches the Rfam family "Bacterial small subunit ribosomal RNA", at positions 15 to 507 of the family's 1533-position model. The record is from RNAcentral.
GAUCAUGGCUCAGGUUGAACGCUGGCGGCAUGCCUUACACAUGCAAGUCGAACGGCAGCACGGGAGCUUGCUCCUGGUGGCGAGUGGCGAACGGGUGAGUAAUACAUCGGAACGUACCCUGAAGUGGGGAUAACGUAGCGAAAGUUACGCUAAUACCGCAUAUUCUGUGAGCAGGAAAGAGGGGGAUCGCAAGACCUCUUGCUUUAGGAGCGGCCGAUGUCGGAUUAGCUAGUUGGUGAGGUAAAGGCUCACCAAGGCGACGAUCCGUAGCGGGUCUGAGAGGAUGAUCCGCCACACUGGGACUGAGACACGGCCCAGACUCCUACGGGAGGCAGCAGUGGGGAAUUUUGGACAAUGGGCGCAAGCCUGAUCCAGCCAUGCCGCGUGAGUGAAGAAGGCCUUCGGGUUGUAAAGCUCUUUCGGUGGGGAAGAAAUUGCACAGGAUAAUACCUUGUGUAGAUGACGGUACCCGCAUAAGAAGCACCGGCUAACUACGUG